Molecule: transfer RNA, 72 nt
Filed under: Lachnospiraceae bacterium
Lineage: Bacteria; Bacillati; Bacillota; Clostridia; Lachnospirales; Lachnospiraceae
Also listed under: 2 other names
Description: tRNA-Glu
Rfam family: tRNA
About the family: Transfer RNA (tRNA) molecules are approximately 80 nucleotides in length. Their secondary structure includes four short double-helical elements and three loops (D, anti-codon, and T loops).
Source: RNAcentral
GGCUCGUUGGUCAAGUGGUUAAGACGCCGCCCUCUCAAGGCGGAAUCAGGAGUUCAAUUCUCCUACGAGCUG